RNAcentral lists this ribosomal RNA (301 nucleotides) under uncultured bacterium. RNAcentral describes it as "partial 16S ribosomal RNA". It matches the Rfam family "Bacterial small subunit ribosomal RNA", at positions 509 to 808 of the family's 1533-position model. The record is from RNAcentral.
CAGUCGCCGCGGGAAUACGUAGGUGGCGAGCGUUGUCCGGAAUUAUUGGGCGUAAAGGGAGCGCAGGCGGACAUAUAAGUCCAUCUUAAAAGUGCGGGGCUCAACCCCGUGAGGGGAUGGAAACUGUAUGCCUUGAGUGCAGGAGAGGAAAGCGGAAUUCCCAGUGUAGCGGUGAAAUGCGUAGAUAUUGGGAGGAACACCAGUGGCGAAGGCGGCUUUCUGGACUGCAACUGACGCUGAGGCUCGAAAGCCAGGGGAGCGAACGGGAUUAGAUACCCCUGUAGUCCCUGUCUCUUAUACC